RNAcentral lists this long non-coding RNA (280 nucleotides) under Solanum tuberosum (potato). RNAcentral describes it as "long non-coding RNA (STUB_LNC005494)". Lineage: Eukaryota; Viridiplantae; Streptophyta; Magnoliopsida; Solanales; Solanaceae. The record is from RNAcentral.
UCCCACUAAAUAUGAUUUUUAUAUAAGCAUCAUUAUACAUAUCAUCUCAUUAAUAUGCUAUCUAUCGGGUACGAUUAUGCAUUUUGCCUAUGAUGUCCAUCCCUUGUUGCAUUGCAUUGCAUCCCAUAUACUUAGUACAUUCAAACGUACUAACGCAUACUCUAUGCCUACAUGAUGUCACCAUGUAGGGACCGGAGCACCGCUUGACCCUCCUCCUCCGCGUGGCUAAUACGAUUUUCUAUCAAGGUUAUUGGUGAGUCCUCCAUUCCGGGGACGUUGC